This 421-nucleotide unclassified non-coding RNA is filed under the name Cercozoa sp. RNAcentral describes it as "partial contains small subunit ribosomal RNA, internal transcribed spacer 1, and 5.8S ribosomal RNA". The stretch from base 1 to 47 matches the Rfam family "Eukaryotic small subunit ribosomal RNA", at positions 1785 to 1831 of the family's 1831-position model. The record is from RNAcentral. Lineage: Eukaryota; Cercozoa.
AAAGUCGUAACAAGGUUUCCGUAGGUGAACCUGCGGAAGGAUCAUUAUCAUAACGUAUCCACGUAUAAACCAACUUAAUUGAUGUGAAACGUAACUGUUUUAACACCUCGAGAUAAUCGGAUGAUUGCUGUACUUUAUACAUUGUUUGCGUGAUUAAAGCAAAAACGGUUAGUACGGACUUGUCGAUCUGUCAAAGGAUCGCCUAGCGCUGAUUAUUUGGAGUGUAAAAUUUAAUCAAUAUUAACCCAUUGAACCGAAUUACUUAUUCUUAACUGAGUUUGUUAUUCAUUUAAUUCUAUUGUGUGAACUGAAUUGUCUGCUUACUCGAGCGCCGUAACAGGUUGUGAGAGAAGUACGAUUAUAUUUACGAAACAUUAUAAAUUUCUAUGAACAACUCUUAGCAACGGAUAUCUUGGUUCUC